Molecule: ribosomal RNA, 441 nt
Filed under: Streptomyces sp. SCAU5022
Lineage: Bacteria; Bacillati; Actinomycetota; Actinomycetes; Kitasatosporales; Streptomycetaceae
Description: bacterial SSU rRNA
Rfam family: Bacterial small subunit ribosomal RNA
Source: RNAcentral
GGGAUAAGCCCGGGAAACUGGGUCUAAUACCGGAUAACACCUUCUGCCGCAUGGUGGGGGGUUGAAAGUUCCGGCGGUGCAGGAUGAAUCCGCGGCCUAUCAGCUUGUUGGUGGGGUAGUGGCCUACCAAGGCGACGACGGGUAGCCGGCCUGAGAGGGCGACCGGCCACACUGGGACUGAGACACGGCCCAGACUCCUACGGGAGGCAGCAGUGGGGAAUAUUGCGCAAUGGGCGAAAGCCUGACGCAGCGACGCCGCGUGAGGGAUGACGGCCUUCGGGUUGUAAACCUCUUUCAGCAGGGAAGAAGCGCAAGUGACGGUACCUGCAGAAGAAGCACCGGCUAACUACGUGCCAGCAGCCGCGGUAAUACGUAGGGUGCGAGCGUUGUCCGGAAUUAUUGGGCGUAAAGAGCUCGUAGGCGGCCUGUCACGUCGGAUGU